CCUGGUUCGAGAAAUUACAGCACUGAGCGGGAUUUAAUGGGACCCUUAAAAAUAAUCAACAAUUGCAAGACAACUUGAAAAUCUUCUUGUGAUAACCUUUGAAAGAAGCCCUCUCGUUCUCACCAAUUUUCAAAGGAAAGCUGGACGAUCAUCAUUCAGAAAGGGAAAAAAGAAAGGCUCAAGCUCAAAUAUGUUGUUAUUAGCUCAGCAAAUUCGGCUUUCUUCAACUCUGUUUCCAAACUCUUGAUUUUAUCCUUCCUUUGAUAUUGUAUUUUGAACCUUAUUAUAUUAUCAUUAAUAUCAUUUGGCCUUUACUU
Molecule: long non-coding RNA, 317 nt
Organism: Neltuma alba
Lineage: Eukaryota; Viridiplantae; Streptophyta; Magnoliopsida; Fabales; Fabaceae
Exons: 2
Source: RefSeq, a predicted model, not a curated record